This is a non-coding RNA of Schistosoma rodhaini, 45 nucleotides long. The record is from Rfam. NCBI's taxonomy places the organism in Eukaryota, Metazoa, Platyhelminthes, Trematoda, Strigeidida, Schistosomatidae.
CUCUAAUUGACGAGUCCCAAAUAGGACGAAACGCGCGUCGUGGAU